CCCUGACCUACCCUGGUUUUGGUGAGUUUGUUCCUGGCAUCAAAGCCAUAGGUCACUGUGAGAAAAUAGACUUGGGGGAAAUUGAAUCCUACAAGUCUGAAAUUCCCACAAGUAAUCCCCUUGAGCUAUUAAACCAUUAUCCAAUUUAGCCAUUAAAAAACAGAUACAUGGUAUAAUUAAUUCUUUCUGUAAAAUCCAGGGUUUGGAAACAAGGACAGCCAGGAUCAUCAAUUUUAGGUAGAUUCAGCACUUAAUGAAGAACAAAAUAUUUGAUUCUGAAAAAGGAGUGUUAAAAUGCCGCCAGCAAUCUCCUGACCACGCUGAAAUUCGUACAACAUGAAAUACUGUCAUCCCUCACAUUGUAUUGAGCAGCUGGGAAUUUAUACGAAGCUGGGAAGGAACAGGGGAGGCACAGAAGGUUGUCAAGGUGACAGGCUCAUGAGAGACAGAAGGCAGCAUCUUCGUUGUAAGGAAGUAGUGGAAGAUUUAAUCUUGGAAGAGAAUGACAUUCCUGCCUUCAGACCACAGAGGAAUCAGAAAGAAUACAUUUCCAAGAAAAUUUCAAAUGAUGGAUAUGUGCCAGACUAGGAAUUUCCUUCUGAGGGCUUUGGUCGUCUUCAUGAUUUAGGUAGAUGGCAAAAUUAUUUACUGAAAGUAAGGAUGACAGGUGUGGGUUAGGAGCCUUGAGAUGCAUUUUCAAACAGUUGCUGUGGCAAGUGC
RNAcentral lists this long non-coding RNA (720 nucleotides) under Vulpes vulpes (red fox). RNAcentral describes it as "lncRNA (ENSVVUG00000020014.1)". The record is from RNAcentral. Lineage: Eukaryota; Metazoa; Chordata; Mammalia; Carnivora; Canidae.